RNAcentral lists this long non-coding RNA (1521 nucleotides) under Homo sapiens (human). RNAcentral's name for it is "HSALNT0125139". Lineage: Eukaryota; Metazoa; Chordata; Mammalia; Primates; Hominidae. The record is from RNAcentral.
UUUAAAUGUUAAUACAUUUUGUUGCAAUUCAGUUCUGGAACAAUGAAAUGCUUAACAGGAAGAGGAAAAAGAUUCAAUUCUAUGGGUCUGCAUAGCAACCAAAUUAAAAAUAGUCUAAAAAUACCUAGAAUAAGGCAAGGGAAAAACUGCAUGAUUCAUUUUUCAUUUUGAUACUUCAAUGUUUUUGACACUCUUUACACUGAUGUAGGAUUUUUCUUCUUGGUCAUUUUGUAAGCCAGGACCCACAGCUGGCAAUGCUCUGCCUGGGCCUCACUUGGCCAUGCUGGUGUGCCCCAGGUUGCCUGUGUUGUAGCUUGCACUCACAUUUGGUGGUUCCUGAGCUCUUGCACCAUGUCCAAGAAGAAUGAAGAUACACAGGACAUUGAAGGAAGGGGAAGAUGGAGAAGAAUUUUAUUGAGUGAAGGAAAUGGCUUUCAGAGAAGAGGGGAUCUAGGAUUGGUCCCCCUACUUGAAGGCAGGAAAGGUCCCCCACCUCAUGUGGCUGGGUCUGGGGCCUUUUGUUGAUACAGAAUGGGGAGUGCGUGCUGAUUGGUUUGUGAGUAUGAAAAAAAAGAUUAAAGCAAAGACACCACUCAAAGGUGGGCACCACAGUGUAGAAAAUCAAUUAGGAGAGGGUAGACAUAUGUAAAAUAGGUGAAGAGUGGGGAACUAUCAGAGGAAAGCAUGCCAAAUGGGAAGACAAGUUCUCAAUCCAGUGCAAGGAUAUAAGUUGUAGCUUGGCUUUCAGGCUUUAAACUGUCUUUGGCUUGAGGUGGGGUUUCACCAGCAAUUCCCCAUCCGCCUAGGCAUUUAGCUGCCUCCUGCCACUCUCAGUACUACUAAUAAAUAAGCACUGAGUUAAUUUAGCUUAUUUUCUGUUAAAACGUUUUAUAUUGUAAAGUAUGGAAUACUGAUCUUUAGUAAAGAUAGCCAUACAAUUGGAAAAAAAUCAAUGUAAAGAUAAUGAGUACGUAUUUAGUUUUGUCCAAUAUCAAUCAUUGCUUCUAGUAUACAUAUGUAACUAACCUGCACAAUGUGCACAUGUACCCUAAAACUUAAAGUAUAAUAAAAAAAUAAAAAAAAAGAAAAAAGAAAAUAAUCUCUCACUAUCUCUUAAUUUUAUAGUUCAUUUGAAUAUUUUCUAACACAGGAUUUUGCUAAUUCACAUUUUAAACUGUUUUUGGGAAACUAAUUUAUGUUAACACAACUUCGUAAACAUUCAUGCCCAUGUUCCCUCUUCUCUGCAGAUUAAAAUUUUUCAUCAUAGCCAUUAUAUCUCGUUCUGAUACUGCUAAGGCAAAGUAAAGGUAAAAAGAGAUACUAAGUUCCCAAGAGCCUGAAAGAGACAUUUGGCUUAUUUGUUAUGUUACAGUCACAAGGAAGCAUUGUCAGAGUCAAGAAAACAUAUUUUCUUUUGAGCCAUUUACAACAUUUAAUAGUUGAGUAAAGUAUACUACCGUGAGAAAAAAUAGAACAUAUCUAUAUGUCUCUACAUGAUUUCUCCAGAAUUUUGAAAAAAUU